RNAcentral lists this small RNA (27 nucleotides) under Bombyx mori (domestic silkworm). Its description in RNAcentral is "ovarian small RNA-33794". The record is from RNAcentral. Lineage: Eukaryota; Metazoa; Arthropoda; Insecta; Lepidoptera; Bombycidae.
UGCCGGGAAUGUAGCGGAUGUCGGUUG